Molecule: ribosomal RNA, 1538 nt
Filed under: Klebsiella pneumoniae
Lineage: Bacteria; Pseudomonadati; Pseudomonadota; Gammaproteobacteria; Enterobacterales; Enterobacteriaceae
Description: bacterial SSU rRNA
Rfam family: Bacterial small subunit ribosomal RNA
Source: RNAcentral
AAAUUGAAGAGUUUGAUCAUGGCUCAGAUUGAACGCUGGCGGCAGGCCUAACACAUGCAAGUCGAGCGGUAGCACAGAGAGCUUGCUCUCGGGUGACGAGCGGCGGACGGGUGAGUAAUGUCUGGGAAACUGCCUGAUGGAGGGGGAUAACUACUGGAAACGGUAGCUAAUACCGCAUAAUGUCGCAAGACCAAAGUGGGGGACCUUCGGGCCUCAUGCCAUCAGAUGUGCCCAGAUGGGAUUAGCUAGUAGGUGGGGUAACGGCUCACCUAGGCGACGAUCCCUAGCUGGUCUGAGAGGAUGACCAGCCACACUGGAACUGAGACACGGUCCAGACUCCUACGGGAGGCAGCAGUGGGGAAUAUUGCACAAUGGGCGCAAGCCUGAUGCAGCCAUGCCGCGUGUGUGAAGAAGGCCUUCGGGUUGUAAAGCACUUUCAGCGGGGAGGAAGGCGUAAGGUUAAUAACCUUGCGAUUGACGUUACCCGCAGAAGAAGCACCGGCUAACUCCGUGCCAGCAGCCGCGGUAAUACGGAGGGUGCAAGCGUUAAUCGGAAUUACUGGGCGUAAAGCGCACGCAGGCGGUCUGUCAAGUCGGAUGUGAAAUCCCCGGGCUCAACCUGGGAACUGCAUUCGAAACUGGCAGGCUAGAGUCUUGUAGAGGGGGGUAGAAUUCCAGGUGUAGCGGUGAAAUGCGUAGAGAUCUGGAGGAAUACCGGUGGCGAAGGCGGCCCCCUGGACAAAGACUGACGCUCAGGUGCGAAAGCGUGGGGAGCAAACAGGAUUAGAUACCCUGGUAGUCCACGCCGUAAACGAUGUCGAUUUGGAGGUUGUGCCCUUGAGGCGUGGCUUCCGGAGCUAACGCGUUAAAUCGACCGCCUGGGGAGUACGGCCGCAAGGUUAAAACUCAAAUGAAUUGACGGGGGCCCGCACAAGCGGUGGAGCAUGUGGUUUAAUUCGAUGCAACGCGAAGAACCUUACCUGGUCUUGACAUCCACAGAACUUUCCAGAGAUGGAUUGGUGCCUUCGGGAACUGUGAGACAGGUGCUGCAUGGCUGUCGUCAGCUCGUGUUGUGAAAUGUUGGGUUAAGUCCCGCAACGAGCGCAACCCUUAUCCUUUGUUGCCAGCGGUCCGGCCGGGAACUCAAAGGAGACUGCCAGUGAUAAACUGGAGGAAGGUGGGGAUGACGUCAAGUCAUCAUGGCCCUUACGACCAGGGCUACACACGUGCUACAAUGGCAUAUACAAAGAGAAGCGACCUCGCGAGAGCAAGCGGACCUCAUAAAGUAUGUCGUAGUCCGGAUUGGAGUCUGCAACUCGACUCCAUGAAGUCGGAAUCGCUAGUAAUCGUAGAUCAGAAUGCUACGGUGAAUACGUUCCCGGGCCUUGUACACACCGCCCGUCACACCAUGGGAGUGGGUUGCAAAAGAAGUAGGUAGCUUAACCUUCGGGAGGGCGCUUACCACUUUGUGAUUCAUGACUGGGGUGAAGUCGUAACAAGGUAACCGUAGGGGAACCUGCGGUUGGAUCACCUCCUUA